This 468-nucleotide ribosomal RNA is filed under the name uncultured bacterium. Its description in RNAcentral is "partial 16S ribosomal RNA". It matches the Rfam family "Bacterial small subunit ribosomal RNA", at positions 28 to 507 of the family's 1533-position model. The record is from RNAcentral.
GACGAACGCUGGCGGCGUGCUUAACACAUGCAAGUCGAACGGAAAGGCCCUGCUUUUGUGGGGUGCUCGAGUGGCGAACGGGUGAGUAACACGUGAGUAACCUGCCCUUGACUUUGGGAUAACUUCAGGAAACUGGGGCUAAUACCGGAUAGGAGCUCCUGCUGCAUGGUGGGGGUUGGAAAGUUUCGGCGGUUGGGGAUGGACUCGCGGCUUAUCAGCUUGAUGGUGGGGUAGUGGCUUACCAAGGCUUUGCGCGGUAGCCGGGCUGGUAGGGGGACCGGCCACAUUGGGACUGAGAUGCGGCCCAGACUCCUACGGGAGGCAGCAGAGGAGAAUAUUGCACAAUGGGCGGAAGCCUGAUGCAGCACAGCCGCGUGCCGGAUGACGGCCUUCGGGUUGUAAACCACUUUCGCCUGUGACGAAGCGUGAGUGACGGUAAUGGGUAAAGAAGCACCGGCUAACUACGUG